This 363-nucleotide long non-coding RNA is filed under the name Spirodela polyrhiza (greater duckweed). RNAcentral's name for it is "long non-coding RNA (SPOL_LNC001471)". Lineage: Eukaryota; Viridiplantae; Streptophyta; Magnoliopsida; Alismatales; Araceae. The record is from RNAcentral.
UGAGAACGGUGGGGUUGGGGGAGGAGGAGAGAGAAAGGGUCCUCAGAGGCGGAAGCCUUCCUCCCCAAGCCAACGCCAGGUAUCAUGACAAGGGCCUUCAGAGGGGGUGUUCGCCAGCGCCAUCGAAGGAAAGGGGAAGAGGAAGAGGGGCAGGAGAUGGUGGAGGGAAGGACAGGCUAGGGAAGCUUCUGGCCCGGGCAUUCUCGUCUCCCCAUUAGUCUUUCCCAUCUGGACUGCUGCAGCCGCUGCUUUUGGUUUCGCGCCAUUAAAGCAACUCACUUCCGUCCCCCAGAAGGUAUACUCGUUGACCCCCACCCUCCUCCCUCGUUAAAACCCUAGGCUCUCUCCCGUCCACAAGGCGAC